This 253-nucleotide ribosomal RNA is filed under the name uncultured bacterium. Its description in RNAcentral is "partial 16S ribosomal RNA". It matches the Rfam family "Bacterial small subunit ribosomal RNA", at positions 524 to 776 of the family's 1533-position model. The record is from RNAcentral.
UACGUAGGCGGCAAGCGUUGUCCGGAUUUACUGGGCGUAAAGAGCGCGCAGGCGGUUGGAUAAGUCGAAUGUGAAAGCCCCCGGCUCAACUGGGGAGGGUCAUUCGAUACUGUCCGACUCGAAGGCAGGAGAGGGAAGCGGAAUUCCCGGUGUAGUGGUGAAAUGCGUAGAUAUCGGGAGGAACACCAGUGGCGAAGGCGGCUUUCUGGCCUGUUCUUGACGCUGAGGCGCGAAAGCCAGGGGAGCAAACGGG